This 207-nucleotide ribosomal RNA is filed under the name uncultured bacterium. RNAcentral's name for it is "partial 16S ribosomal RNA". It matches the Rfam family "Bacterial small subunit ribosomal RNA", at positions 568 to 774 of the family's 1533-position model. The record is from RNAcentral.
UGCGUAGGCGGCGCGGCAAGUUGGGUGUGAAAUACCUCGGCUUAACCGAGGAACUGCGCCCAAAACUGCCGUGCUUGAGGAAGAUAGAGGUGAGCGGAACUUAGGGUGGAGCGGUGAAAUGCGUUGAUAUCCUAAGGAACACCGGUGGCGAAAGCGGCUCACUGGAUCUUUUCUGACGCUGAGGCACGAAAGCUAGGGGAGCGAACG